Molecule: ribosomal RNA, 229 nt
Filed under: Peptoniphilus indolicus
Lineage: Bacteria; Bacillati; Bacillota; Tissierellia; Tissierellales; Peptoniphilaceae
Description: partial 16S ribosomal RNA
Rfam family: Bacterial small subunit ribosomal RNA
Source: RNAcentral
GGCGUAAGGGUUCGCAGGCGGUUUAGAAAGUCAGAUGUGAAAGGCGAGGGCUCAACCCUCGUAAGCAUUUGAAACUUCUAAACUUGAGUAGUGAAGAGGUAAGUGGAAUUCCUAGUGUAGCGGUGAAAUGCGUAGAUAUUAGGAGGAAUACCGGUGGCGAAGGCGACUUACUGGUCACAAACUGACGCUGAGGAACGAAAGCGUGGGUAGCAAACAGGAUUAGAUACCC